AACGUACGCUGGCGGCGCGCCUAACACAUGCAAGUCGAACGCAGUAGCAAUACUGAGUGGCAGACGGGUGAGUAACAUGUGGGAAUCUGCCUUGUGGUUCAGGACAACAUUGGGAAACCGAUGCUAAUACUGGAUAAGCCCUUACGGGGAAAGUUUUAAUGCCAUAAGAUGAGCCCGCAUUUGAUUAGUUAGUUGGUGAGGUAAUGGCUCACCAAGACAAUGAUCAAUAGCUGAUCUGAGAGGAUGAUCAGCCACACUGGGACUGAGACACGGCCCAGACUCCUGCGGGAGGCAGCAGUGGGGAAUCUUGCACAAUGGGGGAAACUCUGAUGCAGCGAUGCCGCGUGAGUGAAGAAGGCCUUUGGGUUGUAAAGCUCUUUUGUAGGGGAAGAUAAUGACUGUACCCUAAGAAUAAGGUCCGGCUAACUCUGUGCCAGCCGCCGCCGUAA
This 449-nucleotide ribosomal RNA is filed under the name uncultured bacterium. Its description in RNAcentral is "partial 16S ribosomal RNA". It matches the Rfam family "Bacterial small subunit ribosomal RNA", at positions 29 to 523 of the family's 1533-position model. The record is from RNAcentral.